UGGGGGAUAUUGCACAAUGGGCGAAAGCCUGAUGCAGCGACGCCGCGUGGGGGAUGAAGGCCUUCGGGUUGUAAACUUCUUUUGCUCUGAACAAGGCAUGCCUUUGGGGUGUGUUGAGUGUAGGGGUUGAUUAGCGCCGGCUAACUACGUGCCAGCAGCCGCGGUAAUACGUAGGGCGCGAGCGUUGUCCGGAAUUAUUGGGCGUAAAGGGCUUGUAGGUGGCUGGUUGCGUCUGUCGUGAAAGCUCAUGGCUUAACUGUGGGGUUGCGGUGGGUACGGGCUGGCUGGAGUGCAGUAGGGGAGGCUGGAAUUCCGGGUGUAGCGGUGGAAUGCGCAGAUAUCAGGAGGAAUACCGGUGGCGAAGGCGGGUCUCUGGGCUGUUACUGACGCUGAGGGGCGAAAGCGUGGGGAGCGAACAGG
This 420-nucleotide ribosomal RNA is filed under the name Fusobacteriota bacterium. Its description in RNAcentral is "Fusobacteria bacterium partial 16S ribosomal RNA". It matches the Rfam family "Bacterial small subunit ribosomal RNA", at positions 355 to 776 of the family's 1533-position model. Lineage: Bacteria; Fusobacteriati; Fusobacteriota. The record is from RNAcentral.